CUUAUUCCAUGUGCCUUUCACCCUCAAAACCCUAAUUCCCACUCUUUAUAAGGGCCCUUGGCUGGCCACUAGGGAAAGAAUCAAGCCUUUUACACGCCACAAAACAGCCCCUUCUUCUAGCCGUCCAACUUUCUCUCUUUUCCCUCUCCACACCAACUACUCUUUCUCCAAUUCUUAGCCAGCCAAAACCCUACCAUUUUCUCCUCAAAACCCUACCGUCUCAAGCCUAUUCCAGUCCCCUCUAACCCACAAAAAUCCCACAUCCAAAGCCCUCCAAAACAGCCACCUAAAGCUUCUCUCUUUCCAACCCUUGCAUCCUCCACUAAAAAUUCCAGCAACCUGUCCCUUCCUUUUUCCUCUUUCAAAACUCACUUUCUUCAGCCUAUUCUCUACCAAAUCUUCUCCUUCUACUGCUGAAGAUCUUCUCCAAGUUUGUGGUAAAGCAUCUCCAGAGUUCAGGAUACAAAUUGCAGUGAAGAAUUUUCCUAUGGUUGCUAGAUGUCCCGUUCUCAGGAACCACUGUAAUCUUGUUUUGACAGUUUGAUCUUAUUGAUAUAUCUUUUAUAUUUCUUUCUUUCAUUAUGUAAUAAAGAUCUGAG
RNAcentral lists this long non-coding RNA (599 nucleotides) under Elaeis guineensis (African oil palm). RNAcentral describes it as "long non-coding RNA (EGUI_LNC031716)". Lineage: Eukaryota; Viridiplantae; Streptophyta; Magnoliopsida; Arecales; Arecaceae. The record is from RNAcentral.